Molecule: long non-coding RNA, 1270 nt
Filed under: Homo sapiens (human)
Lineage: Eukaryota; Metazoa; Chordata; Mammalia; Primates; Hominidae
Description: HSALNT0307887
Source: RNAcentral
GAAUGGCUGUUUUCUUGUCCGGGAGAGGGACGCUGCGUCCGCGGCGUUCCCGUGGGGCUGAGAACAGUCGUCGCCGCCUCAGAUGGCUUCUCGCGGGGCCUUGAAUCCGCCCUCAGGGCCUCCGCAAGGGCGAGCGGGAGGCGCACCGGAAGGAACUGAGAGGAACUUUCAGGGCUUUUCGCCCCACCGUGGCGGCCCGGCCCUCCUCGCCUCGCCGGCCAACACUGCCGCCGCCCGGGCGCGGGUCGAAGCGGUUGGUCCUCCGGGCCCUGGGGUGGCUGGGCUGCUCCUCGGGCGGAGCCUGCGGGCGACUAGGCCUGGUGCGUCCCGCAGCAGCCGCAGCGCCCCCAGGCGGCGCCCGGCCCCUUGGCUGGCUCAGACCCCCCGCGUGCGCAUCAUCCCAAGCCCGCUUAGCGCUUAGUCCAGCGGCAUGCCGUGGGCACUGUGCCGCCCUCACUAUCUGCCUCUGCUAAAACACCGAAACAGAGUAGCAGAGGAGACAGCGCCGGGCGUUGAGGCAGUCCCGAGUUGGAAUACCACCUCCAUCAUCAUUCUUUCAUUCAACAAGCAUUUAUGGAACACCUAUUAUGAGUCAGGCACCCAGCUACAAGCUGGAAACCCUAGAAAACAGGGCAGACACGAAACCCCAAGGAGCUUACAGUUGAACAGAUCAUCUCACAGCUAUAUUUAACAGUGUGCCAAUAUUAGAUGGAAUGACAGCACUCGAAUGAAAGCUAACCUAGCCCAGGGCUAGGAAAGGCUGCCUAAGGAAGUGCCCUUUUCCCCUCCGAGCCUAGAAGAUGGAAAAGAGCUACCCAAGCAAAGGACUGGACAAGUAGCUUUUCAGGAACAGGGAACAGCAGGAGAGAAAGAAUUGAAGUGAGAACAAAGUUGAAAUGGUUGAGAAACCGCAAAACCCUGCUUAGAGAACAAGAGAGAUGUGGGCACAAACCGAGCUGCUGAGGUGCGCGAUGGACAGAUCAUGCAGGCUGCUGAGUAGAGAGAGUGAAGUCAGCAAAGAAGACAAAAAGAACAGCCAAGAAGGCAGGAGGAAAACCAAAAUUGGUCACAGAAGCCAAAGAAGUGUGUGGAAAAAAAAAAAGGAAUGGCCAACUUUAUCGGAUGCUGCUGCUCGGUCAGGGGAGAUGAGAACAAACUUCCACUGAAUGCAGCAGCUUGGAAGUUCUUGGUGACUGUUUGGGGCAGAAUUUCUCUUCCAGUAACCAUGUCAUUAUUUUAGCUACUAUGGAAAUAAAUAUUAAUAAAUUUA